AUUGAACGCUGGCGGCGUGCCUAACACAUGCAAGUCGAGCGGUAACAGGUGUAGCAAUACAUGCUGACGAGCGGCGGACGGGUGAGUAACGCUUGGGAAUCUGCCUAUUAGUGGGGGACAACCCGGGGAAACUCGGGCUAAUACCGCAUACGCACUACGGUGGAAAGCCCGGGGACCGCAAGGCCUGGCGCUAACAGAUGAGCCCAAGUCGGAUUAGCUAGUUGGUAGGGUAACGGCCACCAAGGCGACGAUCCGUAACUGGUCUGAGAGGACGACCAGUCACACCGGAACUGAGACACGGUCCGGACUCCUACGGGAGGCAGCAGUGGGGAAUAUUGGACAAUGGGCGAAAGCCUGAUCCAGCGACGCCGCGUGGGUGAAGAAGGCCUGCGGGUUGUAAAGCCCUUUCAGUGGGGAAG
This 419-nucleotide ribosomal RNA is filed under the name uncultured bacterium. RNAcentral's name for it is "bacterial SSU rRNA". It matches the Rfam family "Bacterial small subunit ribosomal RNA", at positions 29 to 447 of the family's 1533-position model. The record is from RNAcentral.